Molecule: ribosomal RNA, 450 nt
Filed under: Coleosporium plumeriae
Lineage: Eukaryota; Fungi; Basidiomycota; Pucciniomycetes; Pucciniales; Coleosporiaceae
Description: partial 28S ribosomal RNA
Rfam family: Eukaryotic large subunit ribosomal RNA
Source: RNAcentral
UUUUGAGAACUGUUUUCUGUGCUGGACCAUAUACAAGUCUGUUGGAAAACAGCAUCAUUGAGGGUGAUAAUCCCGUAGAUGAUAUGGACUACCAGUGCAAUAUGAUACAGUCUCUAAGAGUCGAGUUGUUUGGGAAUGCAGCUCAAAGAGGGUGGUAAAUUCCAUCUAAGGCUAAAUAUAGGUGAGAGACCGAUAGCAAACAAGUACCGUGAGGGAAAGAUGAAAAGAACUUUGGAAAGAGAGUUAACAGUACGUGAAAUUGUUAAAAGGGAAACAUUUGAAGUUAGACUUGUUAUUAUUGGUUCAGCUUCUCUUUUUUAAUUAGGAGUUUAUUCCAAUGGUUGACAGACCAGCAUCAAUUUUUGAGUGUUAGAUAAGGGUCUUGGAGAAUGUGGCAACUUUGGUUGUGUUAUAGCUCCUGGCUUGAUAUAAUGCUUAAGAUUGAGGAAC